UGGGGAAUUUUGGACAAUGGGGGGAACCCUGAUCCAGCCAUGCCGCGUGCAGGAUGAAGGCCUUCGGGUUGUAAACUGCUUUUGUACGGAACGAAAAGGUCUUUUCUAAUAAAGAAGGCUGAUGACGGUACCGUAAGAAUAAGCACCGGCUAACUACGUGCCAGCAGCCGCGGUAAUACGUAGGGUGCGAGCGUUAAUCGGAAUUACUGGGCGUAAAGCGUGCGCAGGCGGUUAUGCAAGACAGAUGUGAAAUCCCCGGGCUCAACCCGGGAACUGCAUUAGUGACUGCAUAGCUAGAGUGCGGCAGAGGGGGAUGGAAUUCCGCGUGUAGCAGUGAAAUGCGUAGAUAUGCGGAGGAACACCGAUGGCGAAGGCAAUCCCCUGGGCCUGCACUGACGCUCAUGCACGAAAGCGUGGGGAGCAAACAG
RNAcentral lists this ribosomal RNA (428 nucleotides) under uncultured bacterium. RNAcentral describes it as "bacterial SSU rRNA". It matches the Rfam family "Bacterial small subunit ribosomal RNA", at positions 355 to 775 of the family's 1533-position model. The record is from RNAcentral.